Molecule: long non-coding RNA, 661 nt
Organism: Brienomyrus brachyistius
Lineage: Eukaryota; Metazoa; Chordata; Actinopteri; Osteoglossiformes; Mormyridae
Exons: 3
Source: RefSeq, a predicted model, not a curated record
CAGGUGUACACACAGGUUCUCACAGACACAUACAGGUGUACACACAGGUUCUCACAGACACAUACAGGUGUACACACAGGUUCUCACAGACACAUACAGGUGUACACACAGGUUCUCACAGACACAUACAGGUGUACAAACAGGUUCUCACAGACACACACAGGUGUACACACAGGUUCUCACAGACACAUACAGGUGUACACACAGGUUCUCACAGACACAUACAGGUGUACACACAGGUUCUCACAGACACAUACAGGUGUACACACAGGUUCUCACAGACACAUACAGGUGUACACACAGGUUCUCACAGACACAUACAGGUGUACAAACAGGUUCUCACAGACACAUACAGGUGUACACACAGGUUCUCACAGACACAUACAGGUGUACAAACAGGUUCUCACAGACACAUACAGGUGUACAAACAGGUACUCACAGACACAUACAGGUGUACACACAGGUUCUCACAGACACAUACAGGUGUACACACAGGUACUCACAGACACACACAGGUGUACAAACAGGUUCUCACAGACACAUACAGGUGUACAAACAGGUUCUCACAGACACAUACAGGUGUACAAACAGGUUCUCACAGACACACACAGGUGUACAAACAGGUUCUCACAGACACACACAGGUGUACAAACAGGUUCUC